AAGUCGUAACAAGGUUUCCGUAGGUGAACCUGCGGAAGGAUCAUUAUUGAAUUGAAAUGCGUUAGUUGGUUGAGCUGACUCUCCCUUUUGAUAAUAUCAGAGGGGAGUAAGUAUGUGCUCGCUAUAUCGCUUUUUCUAACUCUCCACUGUGCACCUUCAUUGUAGGCUAUGAAAACUCUCAGGUAGAGACACUCCACCCUUUGUGCGCAGAAGGGGGGGGAAGGGUCUUAUUUGGGUUUUAGAAGGCUUAUCGGGCAUUCAUUUUGCUUGCUUUCAACUUUGUAGCCUAUGAUCUUACAACAAACUACUUUGAUGAAGUUUUGAUGAAUGAUGGAUUGGUCUUUUUGAACCAAUAUAAAGUCAUAUAUACAACUUUCAGCAACGGAUCUCUUGGCUCUC
This 399-nucleotide unclassified non-coding RNA is filed under the name Megacollybia texensis. RNAcentral's name for it is "partial internal transcribed spacer region". The stretch from base 1 to 46 matches the Rfam family "Eukaryotic small subunit ribosomal RNA", at positions 1786 to 1831 of the family's 1831-position model. Lineage: Eukaryota; Fungi; Basidiomycota; Agaricomycetes; Agaricales; Porotheleaceae. The record is from RNAcentral.